Molecule: long non-coding RNA, 535 nt
Organism: Cyprinus carpio (common carp)
Lineage: Eukaryota; Metazoa; Chordata; Actinopteri; Cypriniformes; Cyprinidae
Exons: 4
Source: RefSeq, a predicted model, not a curated record
GUUUGAAUACAGACAGCACCUUGUCCAUGAUCCAGAGGGAUCCACCACCAUUCUCUCUGUUUUUCCUCGAUUCCUGGACACUAAAGGAUUGAUUCUUCAGGACUUCACACUCCUCUUUGGGUCAGAAAACUGCUUCCAGACUUUUGGAAAGGUGGCCGACAGUUUUCAAAGCAAGGUUAUCAGGCUAGGAGAAACCUUGACUUCCACUCCACUGCUGAAAAGAUUACUGUCAUCUGCCAAACAGAGCAAAGAAAGCAGCGAGGCACAGGAUUCCCCAGAGUGGGACAGUGAUAUAUCAUCCUUCCUUCUACUUUUGCAUCUCCUAUCACCCCAGGCUUCAGGAAGAAAGAAAAUCCAAAGGAUCAGUAUUUCACAGGCUAUUGACCAUCUGGUGGUGUUUCACAAAGCAUGCAGGAGUAUACAGGAACACCUUGAGCUGGAAGAGAAUCGUCAGCCAUACAUUCUUGCCUCAGGGAGCAGCAAGGAAGCCAUCAGUCACUACUUCAUUGUGGUGGAUAAAAAGCUCAUCCCCUGU